Molecule: ribosomal RNA, 200 nt
Filed under: uncultured bacterium
Lineage: Bacteria
Description: partial 16S ribosomal RNA
Rfam family: Bacterial small subunit ribosomal RNA
Source: RNAcentral
AGAGUUUGAUCCUGGCUCAGAUUGAACGCUGGCGGCAUGCUUUACACAUGCAAGUCGAACGGUAACAUGGGUGCUUGCACCUGAUGACGAGUGGCGAACGGGUGAGUAAUGCAUCGGAACGUGCCUAUAAGAGGGGGAUAGCCCGGCGAAAGCCGGAUUAAUACCGCAUAAUACCUGAGGGUUAAAGUGGGGGACCGUAA